AUAAAAGCAAAAAAUCAUGAUUAUUAAUCCAAGGCGUAUCAAAAGAAAAAGAUUUUAAUUAAUUUUGAUAGUCAAAGCCAAGGAAUUCACAUGCACCAAUGGGCCAACUGGCCAGCAACGACUCCUCUGUUUUUAAAUGAACAGCCGAAGCUGUUGCAAAGGGACCUUGAAAUGACCAAUCCCUGACCUUCUUUCCUCCUUUGCAGCAAGGGAAUGGUUGACCAAGAAUCAAGAUGCUGUCCAUGAAUCCAAACUGCGACCAACAAGGAGUGUGAAGUUGACGCUGGAACGUAACUUAGUCCGUAGGGUCUUCUCCAAGAAAUCCUCUUUCAAGAAAUCCCCCUGAUCUGUCCUUCUAAAGAGCAGUCAAGGUGGAUUUCCUUCAGGAUCGACUGACUGACUUGAACUUGCAGUCAAGAGUCUUCUCCAACAUGAACAAUUUGAAAGCGACAAUCAAAACCUAUGUUUGUUUGUCCAACCAAACAUUUCCUCUUUGACGACUUACGAACAAUGGCUGGUUUGCCUUCCAAGAGGUGGUAUUCAGCUGGUUCAUACCGGUUCGGGCGAACCAUUAGCGGAGAUCACAGGUGGAAGGGACAUGUGUGAGCCGAGCACAUGCGCUGAAGGUGCGGGGGCGGCGAACCAACGGUAACAAAAUGUGAAACCCAUCACUGACACCAAGCCAUUGGGAGUUGUCCAGGAUCAAGAGGACGUGUAACUUCAACUGUAAACCAAUAAGAUCUAACUCUUCCCUAGAAGCUUCUCAGGCUUCAAAGUCCAGCUUCACCCACCUUUUUUUAAGAAGUUUGGAUCCUUUUUUGAACUUUUUGGUUGGCCCUGCCGGAGGAAUAAGGCGGAAUGAACUGGAAAAGAUGCGCACCAGCCAAAUUCAUUGCCCUUCAAAAACAUGUGACCGAGUCUGUUUAUUCAGAUAGACCCGUUAUUGUAGAGUUUUAGUCACGGAGGAAACUUCUAACCAUAAUUAGACACAUGAUAAAAAGAUGUUAUAUUGCGUCUUCAAAGCUCUUUCUUCAACAGAACUCUUUUGUUUGCAAGCCAGCGAGUCAACAAGCCAAGAUGAAGGUUGUACUUGUUGUCCUUCUGGUUUUUUUUAAAUUUCCAAAUAAAAAACUGCAAAGAAAAAUAGCGUAAAAUACAAAAAAAAAAAAAAAAAAAGAGCCCAAUCUUAAAUAACUCCACGGAUCAAAAUUUGAACGAAGCACAGAACAUCGGAAAAUGUUAAAGGAGUGCAUCCUUUAAGGGUUUGCGGAGAAUGACCUGCUCCAGAUGGAAGUGAACGUGGAGCAAGAAGUGGGGAAAUAAAAGGUUUUUUGGGGUAAAAUUUGGAAAGGUCUGCUUUCGGGUGCCAAUGGGACCCCUCCCCCCCAAGAGAAUCACACGCUGGUGUCAGGGUUCCAAGUAACAGACCCAACGAAAUCAAAACUCCAAGGCCUGGCAUUUCCUCAAAGUAAGAAUUUAUUAGGGAUGCCAUAUUGGCACAGCUGGUGAAAAAACCCACUUUGAAGGGCCCAAGAUUUUCACCACCUGAAUCCAAAUCCAAAGUUCUUGUCCCUAGGUCACUUGUCCAUCACAUGGUCCAAUCUGGAAAAGUGGAAGAAUCAGCUAGGAAGAAUAACAACAAUUAAAAUGAACAUAUUGCCAAGAUUGUUGUAUUUAUUCCGCACAAUCCCGAUAAAACUGGGGAAAAAAAUAUAUUUUGAGGAACUUAAUCAAAUAGUACACACGGUAAGUAUAUCUGGCAAGGGGAAAAAAAAGCAAGAGUUGGCUUUAAAAAGUUGCAGGAUACCGUGUUUUUCAGAGUAUAAGUGUUGUGACCCUGGCCCAAGUAGGUGGUAGGAAACUCAGUCUGUGAAAAAACAAACUUUAUUCGAACAGCUGAGAAUUACUUCAUUCCCAGCGUCGUUCAACUCAGAUUAAAACAAAUGCCUCCCAACACAAAUUCCUCAGUCCUAUCGCAAACCUUGGUCCAAUUAGGCAAACUGUCAAAGGCCUUUCGUGGCAAACAUGCAGAAGUCACAAAAAUAAAUGCAAGACGUAGAAGAAGCAGAAGACGAAGCUACCAACGUUGUUUUCUGGCAAAGCCCAAAUGCCGCUGCUGGUCGGUUUUAAGCCUUAUGGGAGGGGCCAAUCAUCUCUUAGCCUUACUCCCGAGUCGUCCUCUUUGCUUGAGCUGCUCUUGCCUUCUGGCAGCUCUUCUCAUGCGUGCAUUAGGAACAGGCUCCUCCUGUUCAUCUGCCUCUCUAUUAUCAAUCUCUGGAGGCUCUGGAGUCCGCACCUCACUCCCCGAUCGCCCUGGCCUCACCUCAGCCUCAUCGCUGUCUGACUUCAUUGCCAGCUCUGCAGGCUGCUGGCGGACCACAACAAUAAGACACACCUUUUUCCCCCAAAAAAGAAGGUGAAAAUCUAGGUGCGUCUUAUACUCUGAAUAGAGCCCCGCCCAGCUUCUCAAAUGGAGGGUUCAGAGGCUGAAAAAAGCAUCAGAAAUGAAACUUCAGGAAAAAAAGCCCCCAAAAAGAGCUUCAGAAAAAAGCCCCCCAAAAGAGCUUCAGAAAAAAAGCCUCCAAACAGAGCUUCAGAAAAAAAAGCCUCAGGCUUUUUUUCUGAAGCUCUGUUUCGGAGGCUUUCAGAGGCAGGUGAAAAAAGUUUUUUCUGAAACGGAGUUUCAGAAAUUUCAGAGGCAGAAAAAAAAGCAAAAAAAAAAAAAAAAAGCAAGGCACAGAGCUCACAACCAAGGAACCUGUUGCUAAAAUUCACCUCUGGGAACAGCUGAUUGGGGGUAUUCCGGGAGGCCGAUCCACCCACCAAUCAGCUUUUUUCUUAUUUUCCUUCCCAAAAACCAAGGUGCGUCUUAUAUUCCGGUGCAUCUUAAACUCCGAAAAAUACGGUGUAUGAAGUAGGGGAGGCUUUGGACUACUGUAUUGGGAACUGUAUUAUCUGGCUGAUGUUUUGACAUGGAUGAAAGAGUGGAUCGUAUUGAGGAAUACAAGGUUUUAGACUUUGGAAGGACAUGGUUUACAAUUGGGGUGCCAUGCUUUCCUGUGGUGUGGGAAGAACAAGAUACAUGGAUAUUUUCAGAGACAUUAU
Molecule: long non-coding RNA, 3105 nt
Organism: Ahaetulla prasina
Lineage: Eukaryota; Metazoa; Chordata; Lepidosauria; Squamata; Colubridae
Exons: 3
Source: RefSeq, a predicted model, not a curated record